UACAGAGACCUCAAGCGUUUAUCCGGAAUCAUUGGGCGUAAAGCGUACCGAUAGGUGGUUUAGAAAGUCAGAUGUGAAAUUCCAAGGCUCAACCUUGGGACUGUCAUUUGAAACUUCUAAACUAGAGGGGCAAAGAGGAAGCUGGAACGAACGGUGUAGUAGUGAAAUGCGUUGAUAUCGUUCGGAACACCAAUAGCGAAGGCAGGCUUCUGGGUGCCACCUGACACUGCUAGGACGAAAGCGUGGGGAGCGAAUGGG
This 258-nucleotide ribosomal RNA is filed under the name uncultured bacterium. Its description in RNAcentral is "partial 16S ribosomal RNA". It matches the Rfam family "Bacterial small subunit ribosomal RNA", at positions 524 to 776 of the family's 1533-position model. The record is from RNAcentral.